CCAUUUUCGUUGCGUCGACGUCAAGUGCGGCCAGAGGCCCUCUCACAUACUCGCUGGCGUCCGGGGGUAUUAGAUUUCAGUCUUCGACUUUGAGUUUUCCUUUGUGUCAUAAUAUAUCGGUACAGCCAAGUGCGGAAGGCUGUGUGAGCGUGAUAACGCGAUAAUACGUCUCGUAUUUGUUACAAACAUUAUAUAUAUAUAUAUAUAUAUAAAAUAUAUAUAUAUACACAAAAAUAAAAACUCGAAGUUUGCAUUUGGAUAUAAGAUUUAUAUUAUUUCGAUCAUCGAGACGUUGAACGAGAGUCUAUCUGCAGCAGAGCUACGAAAAUCUACGCACCGAGGCGGAGUAAUAUGAGUAAUGCAGCCAACCAGAAUGGAUCAGGUCUAGAGCAGCAGUUAGCUGGUCUGGACUUGCAGGGGUCCCGCCAACCUAGCGGGGGCCGAUACGUUCCACCGCAUCUUCGCAACAAAGUCGCAACCGAUAGCGGUAACGGACCGACGAGUGGUGACGAUCAUUCGGGUCAGAAUUCAAGAACAUAUUCAGACAGAGAUAGGGGUGGUGGACGCGACCAGGACAGAGAUCGUGAUUACGGAUAUCAAGGUUCCUCGUACAGAGAUAUUCGUAACAAUCGUGACGCUGAUUUCGGUAAUUUCGGAGGUAGAAAUCGUCGCCCUCAAGAGAAUGGUCGAGACUAUCGUUAUGGAAAUGGAGAACGAGAUCGACCAAUGGGAGGUGGCGGAGGUUCAUGGCCAGAGCCGAGAAAUGAUCGUUGGCAAGAAAAUCGAAAUGAUCAGAGAAUGGGAGGCGGCGGCGGCGGUGGCGGAAGUCGAUGGAAGGAUGAGCGGGAUGGUGGUGGACGAGGAGGAGGAGGACGAAACGAGGUCGAUUGGACAAUUCCCACUUCAAAGGACGAGCGACUCGAGAUCGAACUCUUCGGCACUGGCAACACGGGUAUUAAUUUUAGCAAAUAUGAGGAUAUCCCCGUUGAGGCUACCGGUGACAACAUACCCGGUCACAUCUCAUCCUUUGACGAGGUUAAGCUGACGGAAAUCAUAAAGAACAGCAUAACUCUCGCGGGCUACGACAAACCUACACCCGUACAAAAGUACGCGAUACCGAUAAUAAUCGCUCGCAGAGACGUCAUGGCCUGCGCUCAAACAGGCUCUGGAAAAACGGCGGCUUUCCUAGUGCCAAUAUUGAAUCAGAUAUACGAGUCCGGUCCACGCCCACCACCACCGCAGGCUGGCUCAGGUCGACGAAAGCAAUAUCCUCUCGGUCUCGUACUCGCUCCUACGAGAGAACUCGCCACUCAGAUUUACGACGAAGCGAGAAAAUUCGCUUAUCGCUCAAGAAUGCGACCAGCCGUUGUUUACGGUGGUGCCAGUAUGGUCGAUCAGAUGCGCGAACUCGAUCGCGGGUGUCAUUUGCUCGUUGCCACACCUGGACGAUUGGUCGAUAUGCUGGGACGUGGAAAAAUUGGCUUACACAAUUGCCGAUAUUUAGUUCUGGACGAAGCCGAUCGUAUGUUGGACAUGGGUUUCGAACCACAAAUACGACGCAUCGUAGAAGAGGACACGAUGCCACCGACCGGAGAAAGACAAACCCUUAUGUUCUCUGCAACUUUCCCUAAAGAAAUACAAAUGUUGGCGCGUGACUUUUUAAGCAAUUAUAUUUUCCUAGCAGUCGGCCGAGUCGGCUCAACUUCCGAAAAUAUCACGCAAAAAAUUGUUUGGGUCGAGGAACACGACAAACGCUCGUAUCUUUUAGAUCUUUUACAGGCGAGCAACGUCAUCGAACCGAGUGCGGAAUCGCUCACUCUUGUUUUCGUGGAGACGAAAAAAGGUGCUGACAUGCUGGAAGAGUUUUUAGCGUCCAUGAAUUAUCCGGUGACGAGUAUUCACGGUGACCGAUCUCAACGCGAACGUGAAGACGCAUUGCGACGUUUCCGAGCGGGAAAAGCUCCAAUACUCGUUGCUACAGCGGUUGCGGCUCGUGGGCUCGAUAUUCCGCACGUUAAACACGUUAUUAACUUUGAUUUACCCGGUGAUGUUGAGGAAUAUGUCCAUCGCAUUGGCCGUACCGGACGUAUGGGAAAUUUGGGUCUCGCAACGUCAUUUUUCAACAGCAAGAAUCACAAUUUGACUCGGGAUCUCGUUUCGCUUUUGGCGGAGGCGAACCAAGAAUUGCCUUCUUGGCUAGAGAACAUGUUCUCAGAAGCCCGGCACUCAGGAGGCGGAGGUGGUGCUCGACGACCCACUGGUGGUAGCGGCAGCAAUGCCAAGGGACGCUUCAGCGGCGGCUUUGGCGCCAGGGACUACCGUCAGACUCCUAGUUCCGGAAUGGGAGGUGGACGAAGUAACGGACCAGGGGGAAGGCCCGGCGGAUAUGGAGGUGGUUACGGCGGAGGUUACGGCGGUAACUACAAUUCUUCGUACAACUCGAGCAACAACGGAAGCAGCGGCAACGGUCAAGAUUGGUGGGGGGGAAAAUAGAAUGAUUCAAAACGAUGAAAGAGAGAAGGAAAGAAAAAAUGGAGAAAAGGAGAACUCCGUUCACCGACGUAUUUGCGACCAUUAUUAUUAUUAAUCUACACAAAAAUUCGAUUAUAUAAAACUGAACAAGGCCAGUAGUUUCGGAAAUGAAAUACGAAAUUUGCAUUCCAUCCUUCCGGAGCUUGAUCCUCAGGGAAGAAUUGGAAAAAUCACUCGCUCUCUCGUGGAACGGAGAAAUAGAAGAAAAUAAAUGAAUAAACAAAAUUUCAAAAAAUUAAUUCACACUUCAAGCUAAUUUAAUGCCUCCCAAAAUAGUGCAAAAUGCGUAAUGAGAAUAAGGAAUUAAGACUUGAGAGGCGGAGUAAAACUGAGCUUGCAGUUAUAAAUGACAAUUAAAGUGGAAACAAAAACCCGCCAAAAUACAGGAGCUCGGUUUGGAAAACUUUGAACAGGAAAAAUGUGUAUGACGUAAUAAAUAGGCGGAAAAUCUGGUGAAAAAACGAGAUGAAGAUUUGAAAAAAUAAAAAAUGCCCGAGCAUACACAAGUCGACGCGACACCGAGAGACGCACCCGUACAAUAUUUUAUAACUGUAUUUAUCAGUACGAUUAAUGCUCUAUAUUAUAAAAAUAAACAAUAUUAAGUGAUAUUCGUAAAAUACAUUAUUAUAAACAUAUAUAAAAGUAAUUGAAAAAGUAAAUGAAACAAAACAAGAAAAAAAAUGAAACGACUGUGAUAUCGAACGAUCUUGUGACAUUCAAUUUCCAACGCGAAUUGAAACGAUAAAUGAACGAUUAAACAAAAAAUAUACAAAUAUUUAAAUUAAUUAAUUAAUUUAUCGGGUAUUGAAUGUCGGUGAAAGGAAAAAUAAAGAGGCUCUGUAAUUACGAGCUCAGCGGGAGGAAUAUUAAGUCGUUACGAUAAUACAACACCAACAACACGGGCAAACUUUGGGUGACGUCAAUGAAAACAAACACGAAUCGGAGGUUAUUUUCAGUUUCGUUAGUUCCCGAAAAUCGAGCGCGUCUCAACUAAUCGAAACAUUAAGAUACUUUCAUCAAUUCAUUGGAUAUCGUAAAUACACAAUUUUAAAAACAAAUUAACGUUUUCGAGUUCAAGAGCUGUGACUCUAUGUUAUCCAUUUUUAUCACGCUAGGCAGUUUUAUACUUCGGAAAAGGUCGAAACCGAAAAUGAUCUAUUUACGUUCCGCGUCACCCGGUCAGAGAAAAAAUGAGAGAGAGAGUAGCUGUAAAACAGGUAAUUCGGGGCAUUGUUCAUACACUCGAGAUGAAUGAAAACGGGAUCGAAAAAAAAUGAGACAUAAAAAUGAAAUAAUAAACGAUGGAGUAAAUGGAAAUGAUCACGGGCGAAAAGGCGGCAUCGUUAUUUCGUCAUUCGUCGAUGAAGGCUCGUAGGUUUUUGUAGCAUUUUCGGGGGAUCGUUCAACGGACGGGCAACCUAACGAAAUAAAAUAAUAACCCUGAAUUGUCGUCGUCCCCCUGUGAUUCAUCUACGCUGGCGAUAAGAAUAAAAAAGUACAAAUUCGUUUCGCGUGACAACCGACAAGAUUUUCUAGACACGUCAUACUUAUUAUAUAAAUACCUGUUAUAUUCGUAGAUUAAUAGUGCAAUCGCGUGAUUGAAGGCGUCGUAUGACCGUGGACCAAGGUAUGAAUGCCUCUUCGCGAGGAACGAUCAUUUAUUUUCAAUUACUACACACAUUUAUUUGUAUUCACUUUUUGUUCUCCAUUAUUUACCAUCUAAUAUAUGCGUCCCGAUCAUUUUGGGCCAUUUUUAAUGAGAGAGGGAGUGAAAAAAUACAUAUUUCACGAGUUUCCACUCGAAAUUGUUCCGCAGUCACGAAAUAUCCCGUUUAGAUACAAGGAUUUCCAAAAAUCACGCCUGUACCGCCACGGCUGAUUGGAUUGUUUAACGAUAUUCCAAAGCGCAAACUCUGCAUUCGUUUUUUCCAGUAGCUCGUUCGCGAGAUGAUAAAUAAUAAACAGUGAUAAACUCCACUACGAAGAUAGCAUUUCACGAACGGUGCUUCACAAAAAAAGUACACAGACUUUGCUCUUUAGAAUUUCGUGAUUCGCGUAACCUGAAAGUGAGGGUGUAAUUUUUUAGAAAUUCUGUAGAAUCAGUGAUGAAUUCUAGAAAACUAGCGCCUGCCACAACGAAGAUCGUCUCAUUUUCAGAACCAUUAUGAUUACGAUUAUUAUUAUUAUUAUUAUUAUUAUUAGAUUAUUAUUACUAUUAUUUUUAAAUUACGCAUAUAAUCGAAGCUCGAUAAUAAGGAGCAGCAAUGGUUGACCGUCGGCAAAUAAUCUUAUUUAUAACUAAAGUUCUAAGUAUUUAUUUUGAUUUUUUUCCUGUCGUUUGUACCUUGCGAGCGCGGUUGGGUAAAAGAUUCAAUUUGUUUUUUUUUUCAUCGGUCCUCUGCUGAAAAUAAUCGGCGAGCAACAGCAUUUUGGGUGGAAAAUAAAAUAUUUAUAAUAAUUCAUCGUGCGACAGAAACAAAAAAAUUCAAAACAACAGAAAAACAAACAUGAAGGAAGGCAAAACUAGGCCAUACUAAAUGUCCGAAUUAAUAGAGUUGAACGGUAUGAAGAGAAAAGAGCGAGAGAGCGAUGAGAUAUUAACAUGAAAUUAUGAUAUAUAUACGGUCGCUGUUGAUGGUGUAUAUACGACAUAGCUAAAUAUGAAUGACGUGAAAAGUUUAGUGCAAACCGAUAAAAAAAGAACAAAGUCAUGUUAGACCGACUACGAUCAUGCGAGCAGGACAGUAAGAAGGCAAUAAUUGGAUAAAAGAAAAAGGAAAGAAUAGAAGAAUAAAGGGAAAAUUCCCUCCGCAUAAAUUUUUUUCAUUUUCGUACUGAAAUUAAAUUAAUUUUCCGGUAAAGGAGCUGCGAAAAAUCAUCACUCUCUAAAUUUGUACGAGUGAAAAGAGCGUCGUUUGAAAGGUAACGAAUAAAGCUUGGAGUGAAUUUACAAAAUCAAUCGUCUUUCUGCGAAUUAUUACAAUUAGUGCGAAAAUAGGAAUGUAAUGAGUGUUCGUAUGAUAAAAAUUCUUUGUGGCCAUCGGAGCAAAAGCAAAUGGUAUUUGCAAAACUUUGGCUACGUCGAUCACAUGAUCCAUGCGUCCCUCUUACGUCGCCAAACAGUCACAGGCAGUUCAAAAUUUUUCAUAAAAACUUUCAAACAAAGAACGCGACACUGGGAUUAUUUUAAAGUAAUCGAGCUCCAUCUUACGGGGACAAAAAAAAACUAAAAAUUGGAGGAAUCCGAAAGAGUUGACGAAAGGAUUCAAAAUAAAUAACGCCGCAACGGUGGACGUACCAUUCUGUCGGUAUAUCUUUAAAAUAUUAGUAUAAAUCCACACGUUUACAAUGCUACGUUAGUUAUUCGAAAAAGGAAUAAAAACCACAUUGGCAUAAUACUAAAAAUCACUUGUAACGUCGCGCGAGAGUAAUCGGAUUAAAAGUAAAUAAACAGAAAUAAAAAUAAAACAAAAUGAUUAUACAUUUUGUGUCGUUUUCAAAACUUGUGUAUGAAAACUCGACGUUACGAUUAAGCGCAGUAGGUUGCGGACCGAGAUUGUGACAAACAAGUCCAAGUCAUGGCUACAAAAGUAUAAGAACUCUUAAAGAGCCGAAUUGGAUGAUGAAAGGAAUGAAAAUAAUAAUUUUUGGCCCGGUUCGUCUAAUUACAGGCUAAUUAAUCGAACUUGUCGGAAAAAAUACGGUUUUUAAACAAUUUGUUACGUAAUAUCUCUGGGAUUUUGUUCAAGUCCAUGGAAAAUAAAAUUGGUGCUAGCGCAAUGCCGUACUUCUUUGGGGGCGUUUAUCAUUGAAACGCGUUAAUUUUUUUGGAACAUUUGAUUUGUUAGCGACUAAUUUUUUUUUAAACGACAAUUACGUACCUCUACGACCGUUUCGAAUAGCCGUCUACCCUUGCAAAUACCCAGAUUCUUUAAUUAUGCAGAUCGAUUCGUGACAGUAUGGCACUUGAAUUCUGAAAGUUUCAUAAUGAAGUAAAACUAUUUAUGCGCCUGCCAUACUUUCAACGAAGUUCAAAAAUCCUGCAAUACUUCAGAAACAGUUGUUUAUCAAACGUUUUCGAGGUACAAAUUCACCAAACGUAAAAUUAUUUAUCACAGUAUGGCAUUGUCGUAUUUUUUUAGCUGCAACGCUAGUGUACCUAAAAAAAUGUCCCAUACUUUAACCAUAGGUCCAAGAACUAUCAGACUCGAGCUACAAUGUAGAAAAAAUAAAAAUUAAACGAUUUGUUACACA
This 6786-nucleotide unclassified non-coding RNA is filed under the name Venturia canescens. Its description in RNAcentral is "aTP-dependent RNA helicase DDX3X, transcript variant X1". Lineage: Eukaryota; Metazoa; Arthropoda; Insecta; Hymenoptera; Ichneumonidae. The record is from RNAcentral.